GGAUGCGAUCAUACCAACACUAAUGCACCCGAUCAUCAGAACUCCACAGUUAAGUGUGCUUGGACGAGACUAGUACUAAGUUAGGUGGCUACUUGAGAAGUCGUUGUGUUGCAUCUC
This 117-nucleotide ribosomal RNA is filed under the name Cucumis melo (muskmelon). The record is from RNAcentral. Lineage: Eukaryota; Viridiplantae; Streptophyta; Magnoliopsida; Cucurbitales; Cucurbitaceae.